RNAcentral lists this ribosomal RNA (301 nucleotides) under uncultured bacterium. RNAcentral describes it as "partial 16S ribosomal RNA". It matches the Rfam family "Bacterial small subunit ribosomal RNA", at positions 509 to 807 of the family's 1533-position model. The record is from RNAcentral.
CAGUCGCCGCGGUAAUACGAAGGGUGCAAGCGUUAAUCGGAAUUACUGGGCGUAAAGCGCUCGUAGGUGGUUUGGUAAGAUGGAUGUGAAAUCCCCGGGCUCAACCUGGGAACUGCAUCCAUAACUGCCUGACUAGAGUACGGUAGAGGGUGGUGGAAUUUCCUGUGUAGCGGUGAAAUGCGUAGAUAUAGGAAGGAACACCAGUGGCGAAGGCGACCACCUGGACUGAUACUGACACUGAGGUGCGAAAGCGUGGGGAGCAAACAGGAUUAGAUACCCGUGUAGUCCCUGUCUCUUAUAC